This 514-nucleotide ribosomal RNA is filed under the name Blastopirellula marina DSM 3645. RNAcentral describes it as "bacterial LSU rRNA". It matches the Rfam family "Bacterial large subunit ribosomal RNA", at positions 2403 to 2915 of the family's 2925-position model. The record is from RNAcentral. Lineage: Bacteria; Pseudomonadati; Planctomycetota; Planctomycetia; Pirellulales; Pirellulaceae.
AAGUAGGUCAUAGUGAUCCGGUAGUCCCGUAUGGAAGGGCUAUCGCUCAUCAGAUAAAAGGUACUCCGGGGAUAACAGGCUUAUCGCAUCCGAGCGUCCAUAGCGGCGAUGCGGUUUGGCACCUCGAUGUCGGCUCAUCACAUCCUGGGGGUGAAGAAGCUCCCAAGGGUUCGGCUGUUCGCCGAUUAAAGUGGUACGUGAGCUGGGUUCAGACCGUCGUGAGACAGGUCGGUCCCUAUCUGCUGUGGGCGUACGAAUUUUGAGGAGGUUCUUCUUUAGUACGAGAGGAUUUGGAAGGACGACCCUCUGGUGUCCCAGUUGUCAUGCCAGUGGCACGGCUGGAUAGCUAUGGUCGGAAAGGAUAAACGCUGAAAGCAUCUAAGCGUGAAGCCCGCUCCAAGAUUAGAAUUCGUAAGCACUUUAGUGCGAGAGUCCCCUGGAAGACGACCAGGUUGAUAGGCUGGAUGUGUAAGCACAGUAAUGUGUUCAGCUAACCAGUACUAACGGACGAAAG